This 1311-nucleotide long non-coding RNA is filed under the name Mustela putorius furo (domestic ferret). Its description in RNAcentral is "lncRNA (ENSMPUG00000024889.1)". Lineage: Eukaryota; Metazoa; Chordata; Mammalia; Carnivora; Mustelidae. The record is from RNAcentral.
GAACUAAACAGGUAGCUGUGAGAAGAGAAAAUGAGAACCAUGAAACUCACUGUGAUACCAUCAGUCUCGCCAACCAACUGUCCGUCCAUUCACAUUUCUGGCUGGAGUUACAUGGCAGGGGAUUAUAUAUGCUAUGACUUGUUCGUAAAAAUAAAGCAAGAAGAGUGAGGACCCCACCAAGCCCAUGCCUAAGCCUACACUCUACAGAGACCCUGACCUGACAGAAAACUGUUCUGAGUGCCAGCAAAACCUUGCAGGAAGUGCUGGAAGUCUGUACGCUUCAGAAUUAAAAAGAUUUUACCUUGGAAUUUCACAAAUUGGACUUCUUUGUUACUUCUCUCCUUUCAACAGGAAAUCAUCUUUGUGUUCUUAAACAAAUUGACAAAUACAAAAGUCCAAUGAAACUCAAAAGGACCAGUUGAAAAUAACAGAUUGUAUCCAAAUAAACCAUAAAUACUAAACAGAAAUUUUGCUUUUCCAUUUGUUUUAGAUUAUGCCAGUCAACACAUACUAUAUAAAGACUAGAAACUUGGUAAACGUGAUUUUAUUAAAAAAAAAAAAAAAGAUCCAUUUAAGUAGUUGAAAAACUGAUUCCCAAGUAUGUCCUAAAGGAAUUGGUUUUAUCAUAGAAUCUCUAGAGACUGUGAAUCUAGUUGCUCAAGAAAAUCGAUACUCUCUCAUAAGUCAGAAAUUAUGGGUGUGGCAAUGGAGCAUUACAAACAUUGGAAAGAAAGCAAAAUUAUUUUAGAAGACAUAAUUAUAUGACUGGGAAUUCAAGCAAAUCAACUGAAAAACUUUUGUGGAUGGAAAAAAGAAAGGGAGUUAGGUCCUCUAUGCCUCCAUAAUGACUGAGAAGUUCAAGAAUUACCAAGUGAGCCUUAUCACUUUAAGUAGGUGUCCAAUACCAUGUCCAUGGGUCUUCCAAUAGUCAGUUCAUCACUCCUUUUUCAUGGUAGGUUGACCAUUUUACACUUUUAAAGUUAUAGUUAUUCUCAACUACACAACUGACCUGGGGGUUAGGGACACUUAACCCCCAUACAUUUGAAAAUCGUUCUACAAUUUUUGAUUCCCCAAAAUCUUAACUAUUAAUAGCCUACUGCUGACCAGGAGCAAUAACACAGUUGCUUAACAUAUAUUUUUUAUGUCAUAUAUAUAUAUAUAUAUAUAUAUAUAUAUGACAUAAAAAUACAAUAAAGUAAACCAGAGCAAAGAAAAUAUCAUUAAGUGUAUCAUGAAGAAGAGAAAAUGCAUUUACAGUACAUGUAAAAAAAUCCACAUGUAAAUUGACGUGCACAUUUCAAACUCAUGUUG